RNAcentral lists this ribosomal RNA (253 nucleotides) under uncultured bacterium. RNAcentral describes it as "partial 16S ribosomal RNA". It matches the Rfam family "Bacterial small subunit ribosomal RNA", at positions 524 to 776 of the family's 1533-position model. The record is from RNAcentral.
UACGUAGGGUGCGAGCGUUGUCCGGAAUUAUUGGGCGUAAAGAGCUCGUAGGCGGCCUGUCGCGUCUGCUGUGAAAUCCCGGGGCUCAACCCCGGGCCUGCAGUGGAUACGGGCUGGCUGGAGGCAGGCAGGGGAGAACGGAAUUCCUGGUGUAGCGGUGGAAUGCGCAGAUAUCUGGAGGAACACCGGUGGCGAAGGCGGCAUCCUGGACCGGCAUUGACGCUGAUGAGCGAAAGCCAGGGGAGCAAACGGG